AGGUUGAUAGCUUACUAGGUAAAGCACGUUGCUCAUAACGACGGGGACGGGGGUUCGAUUCCACCUCAAUCUU
Molecule: transfer RNA, 73 nt
Filed under: Thoosa mismalolli
Lineage: Eukaryota; Metazoa; Porifera; Demospongiae; Tetractinellida; Thoosidae
Description: tRNA-Met
Rfam family: tRNA
About the family: Transfer RNA (tRNA) molecules are approximately 80 nucleotides in length. Their secondary structure includes four short double-helical elements and three loops (D, anti-codon, and T loops).
Source: RNAcentral